RNAcentral lists this ribosomal RNA (800 nucleotides) under Bacillus sp. JSM 2215095. RNAcentral's name for it is "bacterial SSU rRNA". It matches the Rfam family "Bacterial small subunit ribosomal RNA", at positions 37 to 818 of the family's 1533-position model. Lineage: Bacteria; Bacillati; Bacillota; Bacilli; Caryophanales; Bacillaceae. The record is from RNAcentral.
CGGGGGCAUCCGUCCAUUCGUGCAGUCGAGCGGACAGAUGGGAGCUUGCUCCCCUGAUGUUAGCGGCGGACGGGUGAGUAACACGUGGGUAACCUGCCUGUAAGACUGGGAUAACUCCGGGAAACCGGGGCUAAUACCGGAUGCUUGUUUGAACCGCAUGGUUCAGACAUAAAAGGUGGCUUCGGCUACCACUUACAGAUGGACCCGCGGCGCAUUAGCUAGUUGGUGAGGUAACGGCUCACCAAGGCGACGAUGCGUAGCCGACCUGAGAGGGUGAUCGGCCACACUGGGACUGAGACACGGCCCAGACUCCUACGGGAGGCAGCAGUAGGGAAUCUUCCGCAAUGGACGAAAGUCUGACGGAGCAACGCCGCGUGAGUGAUGAAGGUUUUCGGAUCGUAAAGCUCUGUUGUUAGGGAAGAACAAGUGCCGUUCAAAUAGGGCGGCACCUUGACGGUACCUAACCAGAAAGCCACGGCUAACUACGUGCCAGCAGCCGCGGUAAUACGUAGGUGGCAAGCGUUGUCCGGAAUUAUUGGGCGUAAAGGGCUCGCAGGCGGUUUCUUAAGUCUGAUGUGAAAGCCCCCGGCUCAACCGGGGAGGGUCAUUGGAAACUGGGGAACUUGAGUGCAGAAGAGGAGAGUGGAAUUCCACGUGUAGCGGUGAAAUGCGUAGAGAUGUGGAGGAACACCAGUGGCGAAGGCGACUCUCUGGUCUGUAACUGACGCUGAGGAGCGAAAGCGUGGGGAGCGAACAGGAUUAGAUACCCUGGUAGUCCACGCCGUAAACGAUGAGUGCUA